CCGCGGAGGGGAGCUGCGCCGCUGAGGGGCGGUGGCUGCGCGCUCUCGGCACGGCUGAGAGCCGUGGGCCGGCUGGGAUCGGUUCCCACCUGUGUGCGCGCCGAGGCACGCGGGGGCUGCGCGGAACGGCGCUGAGGGCUGCGUGCGCCCCGGCCGCCCCCUCAGGGCACGGGCUGCCGCGCGGGCGGCUCCCGAAGGGCGCUGCUGUCUGCCUGGCGCUGGCGAGCGUCGCCUCCCGCCUCGGGACAGCCGGAGCGCAGCGGAGCUCGUGUAAUUCGUUUCACGCCCCCCGGCUGCCACAGCUCUCCCUCAGCACUUGAAAGGCCGAUGUCCCCGCAGGAAAUGAGUGAGCCGAUAACAUCUGACACCGCCGCCCGGUCCGGUGACCCCGACCUUAAUUCCACUAAUACUGGAGGCCUGAAAAUCGCAGGAAAGGCUCCUUGCACGCACACACCCCUAUUUCACAAAACCUGCAUUUAUUUUGCAGCGUAAAUACAAUAAAUAUAUGUGCGGUUACCGAUCCCUCGUUUUUAUUAAUCGAAAAACAUCGCAUAGUUAAUUUUAUUUUAAAUGAAAGGUACUGAGCAGAGACGUUUUGGAACCAUUUGAUGGGCUUGAGCAGCGUUUGUGCCAGUUCAUCCCACGCGCUUCCAUCCGAGGGGUCUUUCUUGCCAUGCAUAUAGAGUGCUUUUUGAAGGAGGGGCAGAGGGAGC
Phasianus colchicus (ring-necked pheasant) is the source of this 713-nucleotide non-coding RNA. NCBI's taxonomy places the organism in Eukaryota, Metazoa, Chordata, Aves, Galliformes, Phasianidae. The record is from RefSeq and is a predicted model, not a curated record.